Molecule: ribosomal RNA, 492 nt
Filed under: uncultured bacterium
Lineage: Bacteria
Description: partial 16S ribosomal RNA
Rfam family: Bacterial small subunit ribosomal RNA
Source: RNAcentral
AGUGAACGCUGGUGGUAGGCCUAACACAUGCAAGUCGAACGGCAGCACAGUAAGAGCUUGCUCUUACGGGUGGCGAGUGGCGGACGGGUGAGGAAUACAUCGGAAUCUACUUUUUCGUGGGGGAUAACGUAGGGAAACUUACGCUAAUACCGCAUACGACCUACGGGUGGAAGCAGGGGAUCUUCGGACCUUGCGCGAUUGAAUGAGCCGAUGUCGGAUUAGCUAGUUGGCGGGGUAAAGGCCCACCAAGGCGACGAUCCGUAGCUGGUCUGAGAGGAUGAUCAGCCACACUGGAACUGAGACACGGUCCAGACUCCUACGGGAGGCAGCAGUGGGGAAUAUUGGACAAUGGGCGCAAGCCUGAUCCAGCCAUACCGCGUGGGUGAAGAAGGCCUUCGGGUUGUAAAGCCCUUUUGUUGGGAAAGAAAAGCAGCAGGUUAAUACCCCGCUGUUCUGACGGUACCCAAAGAAUAAGCACCGGCUAACUUCGUG